Molecule: small RNA, 422 nt
Filed under: Histoplasma capsulatum var. duboisii H88
Lineage: Eukaryota; Fungi; Ascomycota; Eurotiomycetes; Onygenales; Ajellomycetaceae
Description: Histoplasma capsulatum H88 hypothetical RNA
Source: RNAcentral
CCAUCCUGCUUUUCAAACUCAAUAUAAUGGAAGCCUUCGAUAUUCGUACUUGUCUUUUGUCUUUUUGUCUUUUGUGCAUUGACUUUCCCUCGUGAGGCUUUUGAUCUGCCCCCUAAGCAUAGAAUACCGGCGAUACAUAUACGAAACAGUAAAAUAAACGGUCGCUCCAGAAAGCCGGGCCAAGCUUGAUAACUCCGGCGGUAGUUGUGGUGGUAGUGGCUCUCGGACCGGACAAAAGCCCCCCAAGCUUCCGAAGAGGUUAAAAAAUCAAAAAGGCCGCGGACAUCAACAUCUCACCCGAAACUCUAGCCACCGGUGCGGAUCAGCGGCGGGAUUGGAAGGAUGAAAUCCGGGAGAGGCUCGACUGAAUUUAACUCAACGACUCCAGAGAGCAAACCCGAAGAGAGUUGCGACUAAGUGGA